UGUAAUAAGUUGUUUAUAAGCAUAGUAUAUUUUGAUUAUACUGGAGAAGAGAUUCUAUUACAA
RNAcentral lists this transfer RNA (63 nucleotides) under Paratetraonchoides inermis. Its description in RNAcentral is "tRNA-Gln". Lineage: Eukaryota; Metazoa; Platyhelminthes; Monogenea; Dactylogyridea; Tetraonchoididae. The record is from RNAcentral.